Molecule: ribosomal RNA, 549 nt
Filed under: uncultured Escherichia sp.
Lineage: Bacteria; Pseudomonadati; Pseudomonadota; Gammaproteobacteria; Enterobacterales; Enterobacteriaceae
Description: bacterial SSU rRNA
Rfam family: Bacterial small subunit ribosomal RNA
Source: RNAcentral
AAUACCGCAUAAUGUCGCAAGACCAAAGAGGGGGACCUUCGGGCCUCUUGCCAUCGGAUGUGCCCAGAUGGGAUUAGCUUGUUGGUGGGGUAACGGCUCACCAAGGCGACGAUCCCUAGCUGGUCUGAGAGGAUGACCAGCCACACUGGAACUGAGACACGGUCCAGACUCCUACGGGAGGCAGCAGUGGGGAAUAUUGCACAAUGGGCGCAAGCCUGAUGCAGCCAUGCCGCGUGUAUGAAGAAGGCCUUCGGGUUGUAAAGUACUUUCAGCGGGGAGGAAGGGAGUAAAGUUAAUACCUUUGCUCAUUGACGUUACCCGCAGAAGAAGCACCGGCUAACUCCGUGCCAGCAGCCGCGGUAAUACGGAGGGUGCAAGCGUUAAUCGGAAUUACCGGGCGUAAAGCGCACGCAGGCGGCUUGUUAAGUCAGAUGUGAAAUCCCCGGGUCAACCUGGGAACUGCAUCUGAUACUGGCAAGCUUGAGUCUCGUAGGGGGGGGUAGAAUUCCAGGUGUAGCGGUGAAAUGCGUAGAGAUCUGGAGGAAUACC